UAACGCGUGAGGAACCUGCCUCGAAGAGGGGGACAACAGUUGGAAACGACUGCUAAUACCGCAUAAGCCCACGACCCGGCAUCGGGUUGAGGGAAAAGGAGCAAUCCGCUUUGAGAUGGCCUCGCGUCCGAUUAGCUAGUUGGUGAGGUAAUGGCCCACCAAGGCAACGAUCGGUAGCCGGACUGAGAGGUUGAACGGCCACAUUGGGACUGAGACACGGCCCAGACUCCUACGGGAGGCAGCAGUGGGGAAUAUUGCACAAUGGGGGAAACCCUGAUGCAGCGACGCCGCGUGGAGGAAGAAGGUCUUCGGAUUGUAAACUCCUGUUGUUGAGGAAGAUAAUGACGGUACUCAACAAGGAAGUGACGGCUAACUACGUGCCAGCAGCCGCGGUAAAACGUAGGUCACAAGCGUUGUCCGGAAUUACUGGGUGUAAAGGGAGCGCAGGCGGGAAGACAAGUUGGAAGUGAAAUCUAUGGGCUCAACCCAUAAACUGCUUUCAAAACUGUUUUUCUUGAGUAGUGCAGAGGUAGGCGGAAUUCCCGGUGUAGCGGUGGAAUGCGUAGAUAUCGGGAGGAACACCAGUGGCGAAGGCGGCCUACUGGGCACCAACUGACGCUGAGGCUCGUAAGUGUGGGUAGCAAACAGGAUUAGAUACCCUGGUAGUCCACACCGUAAACGAUGAUUACUAGGUGU
Molecule: ribosomal RNA, 696 nt
Filed under: uncultured bacterium
Lineage: Bacteria
Description: bacterial SSU rRNA
Rfam family: Bacterial small subunit ribosomal RNA
Source: RNAcentral